Molecule: small RNA, 50 nt
Organism: Pseudobutyrivibrio ruminis
Lineage: Bacteria; Bacillati; Bacillota; Clostridia; Lachnospirales; Lachnospiraceae
Rfam family: DUF3800-XI RNA
About the family: Actinobacteria, Firmicutes, Proteobacteria, Spirochaetes (1 example). Nearby to DUF3800
Source: Rfam
AGGGCUGGUCGAAAGACCCAGGUCCAACCUAUUAGGCGGGGCGACUCCCC